This 74-nucleotide transfer RNA is filed under the name Anaerolineales bacterium. Its description in RNAcentral is "tRNA-Thr". It matches the Rfam family "tRNA". From Rfam's summary of the family: Transfer RNA (tRNA) molecules are approximately 80 nucleotides in length. Their secondary structure includes four short double-helical elements and three loops (D, anti-codon, and T loops). Lineage: Bacteria; Bacillati; Chloroflexota; Anaerolineae; Anaerolineales. The record is from RNAcentral.
GCCACCGUAGCUCAGUUGGCCAGAGCAGCCGAUUCGUAAUCGGCAGGUCACGAGUUCGACUCUCGUCGGUGGCU